This 506-nucleotide ribosomal RNA is filed under the name uncultured bacterium. RNAcentral's name for it is "partial 16S ribosomal RNA". It matches the Rfam family "Bacterial small subunit ribosomal RNA", at positions 30 to 523 of the family's 1533-position model. The record is from RNAcentral.
AUUGAACGCUGGCGGCAGGCCUAACACAUGCAAGUCGAACGGUAACAGGAAACAGCUUGCUGUUUCGCUGACGAGUGGCGGACGGGUGAGUAAUGUCUGGGAAACUGCCUGAUGGAGGGGGAUAACUACUGGAAACGGUAGCUAAUACCGCAUAACGUCGCAAGACCAAAGAGGGGGACCUUCGGGCCUCUUGCCAUCGGAUGUGCCCAGAUGGGAUUAGCUUGUUGGGGGGGUAACGGCUCACCAAGGCGACGAUCCCUAGCUGGUCUGAGAGAAUGACCAGCCACACUGGAACAGAGACACGGUCCAGACUCCUACGGGAGGCAGCAGUGGGGAAUAUUGCACAAUGGGCGCAAGCCUGAUGCAGCCAUGCCGCGUGUAUGAAGAAGGCCUUCGGGUUGUAAAGUACUUUCAGCGGGGAGGAAGGGAGUAAAGUUAAUACCUUUACUCAUUGACGUUACCCGCAGAAGAAGCACCGGCUAACUCCGUGCCAGCAGCCGCCGUAA